AUUCUACCAAUUUGUAAAAAUUAGUAGUUCUUUUCUUAUCAAUUAGUACUUAAUUGUCACUUGUGGUUUAUUUUAGUGUGAAGUGUUAAUGUAGAGAUUCUUUAAAAGAAAAUAUUUCGAAGAAAAUGUUGAUGCGAAGAUAUCGAAUAAAAUGAAUUUUGAUGUUGCACAACUUGCUAUAGAUCCUAGAAUAAGGAAGAAAUAAUUAUCUUAUUAGUGUUGUCGUUAUGUUAUUUUUAGUAUUGUCAUAAUAUCAUAAAAUCUAUAAUCGAAAAGUUCGACUUUGGUUAAAUUUUGCCCGCACUGGACAAAAUUCCUGGCUCCGCCCCUAUUCAUAAUUGCUUGUUUUCUUGAUGGAGAAAGGAUAAUGAUGUUCAGAUGUCUUACCAUUGGACUCGCUAAGGCAUGUUUUUAGGUGCUAAUUUGGAUAGAAAGCAUUUGCUACGUAUUGCCCAAAAAGAGGCUUUUAGUAGUGCAAAAUAUGCCAGUAAUUCAUCUAUUAUGCUUGCAAGCCUUGAUAUUCUUUUCUUUAUGCAAAUUACUAGCUCUUUAUGCAUUUUCUUUUAAAUGGACCAUACUCCGCAGGAGGAGAGUGCAAAAUGAAAUGAACAAGAAAUGACUUAGAAAUCUCUAUCUCCAGGGAUUUAAAACGAGCAACAAUGUCUCUUAUUUUCAUUAUGUAUUCACGCACACCAUUAGAAUUGUCAAACUUCAUACCUGAAAGCCUUUCAUUAAGGUACUAGACAACAUUAUGUCAGAACUUACAAAAUGUUCUUCAAUAGCCUUUAUAAAGUUCUUGGCCUUAUCCCAGUGAGGGAAUUGAUCCCCUGAUGCGUUUACUGACAUGAGUCUUUAUGAGACUCACACUCAAGCGAUUGAAUGUUUCCCACAAUUCAUACAAUGGCCUCUCCCUGGAGUACUUGAUCCAUAGAGUCAAGUGACUCAUCCACACGAGGCUCCAAGUCAAGAUUCAUACAUCCUAAAGUAAUGAGAAUUUUCUCCUUCCUAUUAGAAAUGUAAUCACCACAUAGAAUUAUAAUUCUAAUAGAGUUAUUAGAAAACACUAGAAUCACUGCACAAUGUAAACAUUUAUUAAUACUAUAAA
This 1105-nucleotide long non-coding RNA is filed under the name Olea europaea subsp. europaea. Lineage: Eukaryota; Viridiplantae; Streptophyta; Magnoliopsida; Lamiales; Oleaceae. The record is from RNAcentral.